This 132-nucleotide small nucleolar RNA is filed under the name Mus pahari (shrew mouse). RNAcentral describes it as "snoRNA (MGP_PahariEiJ_G0034046.1)". It matches the Rfam family "Small nucleolar RNA SNORA17". Rfam says of the family: snoRNA ACA 17 belongs to the H/ACA family of snoRNAs and is predicted to guide pseudouridylation of the 28S rRNA at positions U4659 and U4598. It shares the same host gene together with ACA43. NB This family has a high threshold value to exclude a large number of closely related sequences that do not appear to have conserved H and ACA boxes, and may be pseudogenes. The record is from RNAcentral. Lineage: Eukaryota; Metazoa; Chordata; Mammalia; Rodentia; Muridae.
CCUGCCCCUAGAAGCAUUGUAGGUGUGGCCACCGUGUCACAUGUGCAUCAGGAGGUCGCAGAGAGGAGAAAGGUUAUGUCUAUACUUAGUGUCCUGACUUAUGAACAUCUGAAUGAUUAGUAGCCUAAAACU